ACCAGUUGACAAGUCCCAAACAGGACGAAACGCGUGUCCUGGAU
RNAcentral lists this non-coding RNA (44 nucleotides) under Schistosoma bovis. Lineage: Eukaryota; Metazoa; Platyhelminthes; Trematoda; Strigeidida; Schistosomatidae. RNAcentral also lists the same sequence under 1 other name. The record is from RNAcentral.